RNAcentral lists this ribosomal RNA (384 nucleotides) under uncultured bacterium. Its description in RNAcentral is "bacterial SSU rRNA". It matches the Rfam family "Bacterial small subunit ribosomal RNA", at positions 29 to 416 of the family's 1533-position model. The record is from RNAcentral.
AUUGAACGCUGGCGGCAUGCUUUACACAUGCAAGUCGAACGGUAACAGGCCUUCGGGUGCUGACGAGUGGCGAACGGGUGAGUAAUGCAUCGGAACGUGCCCAAUCGUGGGGGAUAACGUAGCGAAAGUUACGCUAAUACCGCAUAAGCCCUGAGGGGGAAAGUGGGGGACCGCAAGGCCUCACGCGAAUGGAGCGGCCGAUGUCAGAUUAGCUAGUUGGUGGGGUAAAGGCCCACCAAGGCGACGAUCUGUAGCGGGUCUGAGAGGAUGAUCCGCCACACUGGGACUGAGACACGGCCCAGACUCCUACGGGAGGCAGCAGUGGGGAAUUUUGGACAAUGGGCGCAAGCCUGAUCCAGCCAUGUCGCGUGCGGGACGAAGGCC